UCCCUGGUGGUCCAGUGAUUAGGACUCAUAUUCUCACUGCAGAGGGCUCAGGUUCAAACCCUGGUCAGGGAA
Molecule: transfer RNA, 72 nt
Filed under: Ovis aries (sheep)
Lineage: Eukaryota; Metazoa; Chordata; Mammalia; Artiodactyla; Bovidae
Rfam family: tRNA
About the family: Transfer RNA (tRNA) molecules are approximately 80 nucleotides in length. Their secondary structure includes four short double-helical elements and three loops (D, anti-codon, and T loops). Further hydrogen bonds mediate the characteristic L-shaped molecular structure. tRNAs have two regions of fundamental functional importance: the anti-codon, which is responsible for specific mRNA codon recognition, and the 3' end, to which the tRNAs corresponding amino acid is attached (by aminoacyl-tRNA synthetases). tRNAs cope with the degeneracy of the genetic code in two manners: having more than one tRNA (with a specific anti-codon) for a particular amino acid; and 'wobble' base-pairing, i.e. permitting non-standard base-pairing at the 3rd anti-codon position.
Source: Rfam by way of RNAcentral